RNAcentral lists this ribosomal RNA (253 nucleotides) under uncultured bacterium. Its description in RNAcentral is "partial 16S ribosomal RNA". It matches the Rfam family "Bacterial small subunit ribosomal RNA", at positions 524 to 776 of the family's 1533-position model. The record is from RNAcentral.
UACGUAGGGUGCGAGCGUUGUUCGGAAUUACUGGGCGUAAAGGGCUCGUAGGCGGCCAACUAAGUCGGAUGUGAAAUCCCCAGGCUCAACUUGGGAACUGCAUCCGAUACUGGAUGGCUUGAAUUCGGGAGAGGGAUGCAGAACUCCAGGUGUAGCGGUGAAAUGCGUAGAUAUCUGGAGGAAUACCGGUGGCGAAGGCGGCAUCCUGGACCGACAUUGACGCUGAGGAGCGAAAGCUAGGGGAGCAAACGGG